This 303-nucleotide ribosomal RNA is filed under the name uncultured bacterium. RNAcentral describes it as "partial 16S ribosomal RNA". It matches the Rfam family "Bacterial small subunit ribosomal RNA", at positions 507 to 809 of the family's 1533-position model. The record is from RNAcentral.
AGCAGUAGCCGCGGUAAUACGGAGGGUGCAAGCGUUAAUCGGAAUUACUGGGCGUAAAGCGCACGCAGGCGGUCUGACAAGUCAGAUGUGAAAUCCCCGGGCUUAACCUGGGAACUGCAUUUGAAACUGUCAGGCUGGAGUCUUGUAGAGGGGGGUGGAAUUCCAGGUGUAGCGGUGAAAUGCGUAGAGAUCUGGAGGAAUACCGGUGGCGAAGGCGGCCCCCUGGACAAAGACUGACGCUCAGGUGCGAAAGCGUGGGGAGCAAACAGGAUUAGAUACCCGUGUAGUCCCUGUCUCUUAUAA